Molecule: long non-coding RNA, 250 nt
Organism: Portunus trituberculatus (swimming crab)
Lineage: Eukaryota; Metazoa; Arthropoda; Malacostraca; Decapoda; Portunidae
Exons: 3
Source: RefSeq, a predicted model, not a curated record
GGGGUGUGGAAGGAUACUUGUGACGCUGGAGUGAACUGGAGGGCGUGUUGUGCAUCUGUGCCGCUACUAUCCGGGUUUGCUGGAAGCGGUAGAUGGUUGGAUACGUGAUGGGGUGUUUAUGCUGUGGGGACGCUGUGUAUAUUUACCUUGUUUGGGAUCUUCUCUCCGGGACAUCUGUGUCGUCAAUACUGUUGAAUCUUUGCCCAAUAAACGGACUGAUGCAACAGCGCUUUUGAUGCCCUGGAGAAAC